Long non-coding RNA from Mobula hypostoma (lesser devil ray), 707 nucleotides. RefSeq lists it as uncharacterized. The record is from RefSeq and is a predicted model, not a curated record. Lineage: Eukaryota; Metazoa; Chordata; Chondrichthyes; Myliobatiformes; Myliobatidae. The transcript is spliced from 3 exons.
ACAAGGCAAAACAACCACAGAAUGCAAAAUGAAGUCUGAAGUUCCACAGCUACAGAGGAGAUGCUGCACAGGUGGAUGAUGAGAUGCAGGGCCACAACAAGGAUCAUUCUUGUGAAUCUCCUCUGGACUGUCUUCAAAGCCACCACAUCACCACCGAUGCUCCUCGGCCCCUUGAGCUCCUCCAGCAGAUUGCUUGGUGCUCCAGGUUAGAAGAUAACUUCUUGAUCUACAGAAAGCAGGUCGCAAAACAACACAGCGCUGGCCGGAACCAAACACUGAAACAGAGCCAAUCAGUGUAGCUGCCGACCCUGAGAUGCCCAAAGUGACCGCGGCCUCAUCUGUGUAGUCAAGAACUAUCUUUAGAGAUUAUGAGACCUUACACGAUUAAUCAAUCGUUCUAACUGGAAUAGUGUAAAGGUAGCUGUUCGAAUACCGGCUCUAUCCCGAUUCCAAUCUGAAUCCUUGUCAACGUAAUGUUCACCAUUGUGGUCGUCUUCACCUUCGCCUCGCCGUUCCUCAGCAUCGUUCUGUACGUGUCAACUCACAGCAUCCAAUAGACAUCCGCAGUUCGUGUUAAUUUUUUAAAAUUUUAUUUAGCCCCGUUAACGAUGGAUAAAUACGUGCAGCGCGAUCUCGGAGUGUGAAGGCGGUGAAGCCUUUGAUUGUAAUCCUGCUAAGAAACAUAAACUACAGAGAGUGUGUCAAUA